CAGCCGCCGCGGUAAAACGAAGGGGGCUAGCGUUGUUCGGAUUUACUGGGCGUAAAGGGCGCGUAGGCGGACUGAUAAGUCAGGGGUGAAAUCCCAAGGCUCAACCUUGGAACUGCCUUUGAUACUGUUUGUCUUGAGUUCGAGAGAGGUAAGUGGAACUGCGAGUGUAGAGGUGAAAUUCGUAGAUAUUCGCAAGAACACCAGUGGCGAAGGCGGCUUACUGGCUCGAAACUGACGCUGAGGCGCGAAAGCGUGGGGAGCAAACAGGAUUAGAUACCCCGGUAGUCCCUGUCUCUUAUAA
This 301-nucleotide ribosomal RNA is filed under the name uncultured bacterium. RNAcentral describes it as "partial 16S ribosomal RNA". It matches the Rfam family "Bacterial small subunit ribosomal RNA", at positions 509 to 809 of the family's 1533-position model. The record is from RNAcentral.